RNAcentral lists this transfer RNA (87 nucleotides) under Bacteroidota bacterium. RNAcentral describes it as "Bacteroidetes bacterium (hot springs metagenome) tRNA-Leu". It matches the Rfam family "tRNA". Rfam says of the family: Transfer RNA (tRNA) molecules are approximately 80 nucleotides in length. Lineage: Bacteria; Pseudomonadati; Bacteroidota. The record is from RNAcentral.
GCCCGGAUGGCGGAAUAGGUAGACGCGCUGGUCUCAAAAACCAGUAAGAGCAAUCUUGUGCCGGUUCGAUUCCGGCUCCGGGUACUA